UCUCUGCUGCAGCGGAUCGGCGUGGGCGUCGCGAUCGAUGGUGGCGCGGCCUUGCGGCGUCGGCGCAUGUCGGCCGACCGGAAGUGGGUCAAAUGCGCGCACCUUGCCGGGGCCGCCCCCGAUAAACACAGUGCGUUCCCGCUGCUUGCCCAUCGCAGAUCUCUACAACUCCCGAAGGAACAAGCAUCCAGCAAAAAAGGUACCAGAGUUACCCCACGAAAACGGAAGUGAUCCAGCGCAAAGACGUCGAGUCUAGUAGGGUCAAGGGUGGUUUUAUAAUCUUCUGCAAGUACGAAGCCAAUUAGCGAUCUGUUAAGUGUGUUUUGUGUUGUUGUUGGUAGCAAUUAUGACGUCACCGGCGAUCAGCUCUCAGAACGGCAAGGGGGAUUCCCCGUCGGCGGUGAACUCGCCGUCGAAGCUGUCGGCGGCGUCGGCCGGGGGCGGCGGUGCGACGUCAUCGCCGUCCGGCGGAUCCUCCUGGACCGCCUGGUGGAGGAUCUUCAAGUUGGCCAACCUGCUCAUGCAGCAGGGUUGCUAAGCAACAAAAGCUGAAAAAAAA
Molecule: long non-coding RNA, 559 nt
Organism: Nicrophorus vespilloides
Lineage: Eukaryota; Metazoa; Arthropoda; Insecta; Coleoptera; Silphidae
Exons: 2
Source: RefSeq, a predicted model, not a curated record